CUGUUUCCGCCAUUUCAAGGGAUGGCGCUCCCAUCUCUUUAAGCUGCCGCUCUUCCAACUUGGCAGGGCUGAUUAGGAAGACCCAGUUCCUGACCACCGAUGCUUUGCUACGCUAGGCUGGAAAAUGCCUCCCUCUGCCCUUGAGAAGGGGGUCUGAAUGUUUUGCGGGACUGACACCGCAGCAACAUGCCGGUGUGUUUCACGCUGCUGCCUCCUGUUUCCCUUGAAGCUUUCACCAGACCCUGGAUUUCUUUUUCACUUCCUGUUCUGAGCCAUCGCCGGGCACUCAUUACCCACCAGCUGUGUCCCAGCUGCCGCAUUCUACACUAGAGGUGGCGCCCUGCACCCGGCGGAUACUACUUGUUGUCCACUUUUUCUCCUUUUCAUUUCCUUUUGGUGAAGAAAUGAAGAGAAUCAGACUACCCACCUUGGAUUCUGAUAUGAAAGAUUUAGGAUAAAAGAGCUACUCCAUCAGCCUGGAAAGAUGACUCACUGGCAAACUCUUAGAUAAAGCUAAACUUCACACCAAACUGCAAGAGAGUCUAAGAAUGAAGAGAAAACUGCUUUGGCAAGCAACUACCUAGUCUCUGACACAGUCCACCUUUUUGGUCAGCCAAUAUCCAGCUCCGCCUUGUCUUCUUACACAAAGCCCAGGCAAAGCCCAGGAUUGCUAACUGUUGUACAAACCUGUUGGUCAGGCCUAGAUGGAAGCUUUCAACCCCAUUUCAAGUCAGCUGGCUUAUCCAACCCUGAAAGGUCUGUGAUCUCUCAGUUCUUUUUAUAAACAGGCCUCUGCUUGCAAAUGGCCAAUUCUUGCCUGAGCUCAUCUCUUUCUUGUAAUACUUUAUGAAAGGCAGCCAGUAGUAACUAAUGCAUAAAUUUUUCCAACCAACUGGCCCAAAGGUCAGUAGACCUUUUUACCAAAUGUUUCGCAAUGUAUAGCAUGAAUCUCCAUCUUUCUCCUCUCUGUUAUCAGGUUCCUCAGUGCCCAACCAUUAUGUCAAUGCCUUUUACCUUAAUUUUUUUCUUAUGGCAACAUUUUCUUCUGGAAUUAUUUCUGUACUGUAGCAAAUGCCCUAAACUGUGUAAAACAGUUUGAAGACACUAUUUUUUUUUCUAUUUUUAUCAUUUGUUCCUCGGUCUACUCAAUACGCUCCCUGCUUAAAACUCCCCUAGUGAUUUUCUGUUGGGUUUAAAAUAGAGUCUAAACUCUUUACCAUGGAUUACAAGCUUCUCUGUUAACUGGUUGUAACCUGCAUUUCCAGCCUCCUUUGGCGCCACUCUUGUCCCACCAACUAUAUCACAUUUCCUUUGGAACAUUUUCUGCUUCUUGAACUUGCCCAGGUCCUUGCUGUUAGCUGGUCCCUUUGCCUAUGAUGAUCUUCCUUCUUAGCAUCACUUGAACUGCAAAAAAUAAAAAAUGAAACAAAAAA
This 1433-nucleotide long non-coding RNA is filed under the name Homo sapiens (human). RNAcentral's name for it is "non-protein coding LINC01579:13". The record is from RNAcentral. Lineage: Eukaryota; Metazoa; Chordata; Mammalia; Primates; Hominidae.